Molecule: ribosomal RNA, 451 nt
Filed under: uncultured bacterium
Lineage: Bacteria
Description: bacterial SSU rRNA
Rfam family: Bacterial small subunit ribosomal RNA
Source: RNAcentral
GUGGGGAAUUGUUCGCAAUGGGCGCAAGCCUGACGACGCAACGCCGCGUGGAGGAUGAAGAUCUUCGGGUCGUAAACUCCUGUCGAGCGGGAAGAACGUUUCGCGGAUGAAUAAGCCGCGGAAGUGACGGUACCGCUAAAGGAAGCCCCGGCUAACUCCGUGCCAGCAGCCGCGGUAAUACGGGGGGGGCAAGCGUUGUUCGGAAUUACUGGGCGUAAAGGGCUCGUAGGUGGCCAACUAAGUCAGACGUGAAAUCCCCAGGCUUAACCUGGGAACUGCGUCUGAUACUGGAUGGCUUGAAUUCGGGAGAGGGAUGCAGAAUUCCAGGUGUAGCGGUGAAAUGCGUAGAUAUCUGGAGGAAUACCGGUGGCGAAGGCGGCAUCCUGGACCGAGAUUGACACUGAGGAGCGAAAGCCAGGGGAGCAAACGGGAUUAGAUACCCGAGUAGUCC